Molecule: long non-coding RNA, 4243 nt
Organism: Acinonyx jubatus (cheetah)
Lineage: Eukaryota; Metazoa; Chordata; Mammalia; Carnivora; Felidae
Exons: 4
Source: RefSeq, a predicted model, not a curated record
UCAACCCAAAUGAUGCCUGGUCGGGGCCUCAGGUGGCACGAUGUGAGCCACAGGGCCUUCAAGGAGUUGGAGUUACCACCACCCAGCACCUAAUCUCGAAAGCGCCUGGCGAACAGGCAGCUGGUUCAUGUCAACAGCGCUCUCAUGUCCUCCUGGAUCAGACAAGGCGCCGAGAAACACCACCGCUCCACAGCCAGUUAAAGAAAAGCAACAAAGCCUCACUUCUGCUUUCUGGUGAGGACAGUGACUCUCUGACGAACUGCGACAGCUAUCCCAUGUACCUUCCAAAGAGUGCCAGCACCACUCCAAGCAUUACCGGGUCCCUCAAUUCACCCAAGGUGACGCUGCUGCGAUCACGCCUCGGUCUGACAGGAGUCAACGAUCUCAGAGUGGUCUCUCAGUAAGGAGCCAGUGCAGCCCCUCCUAUGAGAGACGCGGGCUUCAGCCUCAAGGAAGGCGACUUGGCUAAGUGGCCAUCCAAGGUCACACAACCGGCAACCGAGUGGCAAGGGCUGUAUUUCAGGUUUGGUGACGCCCCACAAGAUGGGUUCCCAUUAGGUCGUCAGGUCUCUCCCUGUAGGCUCCUAAUUAGUGACUGGAAGCCAACAUAUCAACACCCUCUGACGUUAAGCUUCCGGGAGGACAGCUGGACACCCACCGCGAGCCACAUCGGGCACUCUUGCGCCCGCGACCCCAGACCCUGGAAACGCCGGCCUCCACCCCGGCCCUCAAAGUCACCAGCCUGCCUACCGCCGGAAAUGUCACUGGGGCAGUUCACGGUUUUUUUGUGGGUUUUUUUGUGUGUGUGUUUUUUUCUUUAGGAUGAAGGGGCCACAAUCGGACUCCAGAGGGCGAAGCGGGGCGCCAGACAGACGCGCUCCACGCCCUGCCACGAAGUCCUCUAAGGCCGGGCAGGGGCAGGGGCAUGGGCAGCCACACCCGCCGGGCCUGCAGGACCUCAGACCCCACCGGCCCUAGGGAGCCCGGGAGGCCGGUCUCGCGGGUCCCCAGACCCGGGGGAGGCCGGCCCUGCAGACCCCCACACCCGGGGGAGCCCAGCCCCGCAGACCACCCCCAGGCCCCGGGGAGGCCGGCCCUGCAGACCCCCAGGCCCCGGGGAGCCCGGAAGACCAGCUCCGCAGACCCCGAGACCUCGGAAGCCCGGACGCGCAGACCCCCAGACCCCGCCCGGUGCCCCAGGCCGCGCCCCGGCCCCCACCCUGCCCCACCUCCCUCUCCAAGGAACCCCUGCGGCCCGCGGGCCCCGGCCAAGCGCUGCCGCUACCCCGGCCCGCAGACCCCACCUUGAGGGUCGGGUACUCCUGCACCUUCAGGGUCAUGGAAAGCUGAGCAGCUGACUCCUGCACCGCCAUCUUGAAUCGGCCAAAACAUUAGCGGGUGGGGGAAGCGCCGCGCGCGGCACGCCGGGUAGUGACGUCGCGCUCUCCGGCGGGGGCGGGGCGCGCCCGGGCGGGCCGACGCGCCUGCUCCAAUCGCGUCCGCCCACCAGACUGUGGCGGCGGAAGGAGGCGCGACCGCGGCGUGCGCGCGGAGAGGCGUCCGGCCGGACCAAUCACCUCUGGCCCUCCUCGCGUUCGGCCAAUCAGCGGGAAGCCUGUCUGGGCGGGUUCCUCCUUGAACUCGCGGCCGGGGAUGCUCCCGCCGAUCCCAGCCUCUGGGCGCUGGCGGUCCGGGGCGCUCCCUGGGGUCGGGAGGCUGAGGCUCGUCGAGUGGCGCAGCCGUGGGAGCGACUGGGCUCCCGCGGGGGCUGGCCCCCGAAACAGUGACCCUCUGCAUGGGACGGUGACCCUCGCCGUCGUGACCCCUUACGGUAGUAGCCGAGAGGUCUGCAGGCCACCAUGCAUGUCAGGCAACUACUUUCCAUUGGGCUGCAUUUCCGCAGAGUGGCAGCUGCCGGAGUCCUGACGUUUCCUAUCGGAAAAGGAAAGGAAAUUUUUGUUAACUGAUUUUCAGGAAAGAAGCCCCCAAAGUCGAACAAAGGCCUGUGUGCCUUUGUGUCCUCACCAAUGUCACACGGCCCUGGCACCUAGCAAGGUACUCCAGUUCCCUUUCAACCAUUCCACAUUCUAUCCUUUCAAAAUAACUAGUCCUUUCAUUCCCCUUUUUAAAUAGAAAUGAGAUUAGUUUUCAUUAAUUAGAAGACUUCCCAAUUAAACCGUUUCUCGUGUUGCACACUUAUUCCUGAAACGAUUUUUUUGAAACUUAAGCUUAGCGUUGAAAAAAACACCUAAGGUUCGACACAGGGGAGGCCGAUACUGUGGGAGUGGGAGCCGCGGGGAGAAGCAGCUUCCUGUCCAGGCUCACACCAAGUUCCUUGUACCUGAGGCCAUCCGCGUGAGUGAGUUCAUCAGGAUCAUCAGAAGGGGCUGUCAGCUCAAUACUAAUCAAGCCUUCCCACCGUUGUGAAUCGAUGUAGCACGGUGGAAAAGAGCUCUGGACGUGGAGGAGGGAACACUAGGAAUGUAUUAACUGCUACUGAACCAUGUAGUUAACAAUGGUUAAGACGCCACGUUCCUCUCCGGAAUCUACUUUAUCGUCACAUCCUUAGCUCUUUGGCGAAGUUCAGAACAAACAAACAAAGGACAUUGAUGUGACACCGUUGUGCCAAAUCUGGCGAAAUCUCAGUGGCAGGGUUGGAGCAACGGUCGCUGCAACCGUCUACACCUUAUGCGGAGGCGGAAGUCCUCUCUGAAGGUCAGUGUCAAUGCCCAAGGAGAGAUGGGUAACGUGGCCAAACCUGUGAUCGCGCCUGCUGCGUGCUGUGAUCCCGUCCGACACAUUUAGUGGGGAUGAUACUCCGGUUCCUUCAGCUCAUUGGGAUUUACUGGCUUUUUACUACAAUAAAAGUGGCUGUGUCACUGUCGCUAGCCGAGAGCCCCUUUUGCUUUCUAAGGGUAAUGACUCCUUCUAGAUUUUCCACGUUUCACAUGGUCGCUCUUUGAAUUCUGAUUUUAUUUCCAUGCUAAACCGCUAAUGCACCUUGACGGGUUUCUUUCGCUCACUUCAGUUCACAGGCGGAGUAGUAGUUACAUAGCCCCUUUCGAGCAGGUUGACGAGACAGCCUGCGAGGACCCUCUCCCCGGUGGAGCUGUGGACACUCCCACAUUUACGGUUGGCGUGUUCGUGCGUGGAGCCCUCUUCCUCACGGGGGAUCAAAGCCGCGUGGCACUGCCUUGCAAUGUGCACGUGUCUGUGGACACCAGACCCAGUACUUCCCUCGGUGUCCGUCCGGGGUUACGCUUGUCUCCGUGAAAAAGGAGUCUCCAAGGCCAAGGGGCCAUGCCCAUCCACAUGCCCUCUCCUUUUCUAGAACCUGCUCCAGACGCCUGUGGCUGUAGAGCCCCACUUAACCAGUCUGGAGGCUGCUCCUGGGGCCCAUGAGGGCUGACCCUGACCGCUCACCUGAGGGUGGACGGCACAGUGAGUGGGCCCACUCCUAAAUUUUAGAGCUGGCUAAGGAAUUGGAGAAGCACAGGGGUGGCCCUGUUAAGCAGAGCCAACCGGGAAAGAAUGGACAGGUCCUGGACGUCAUUAUGGAGGCCACCAGGCGGGCAGAGCGCGUGGAGAUGGAAGGUGCAGCAGCGCCAGUGACAGCUGAGGACAGAGAUGCCAGGGCAAGACUGCACUCAAGAAAUCUAGGCCUCAGUUCGGUGUUGGAUUCUUAGCUGUGACACCAAAAGCACUAGUAACAAAGUGAAAAAAAAAUAGAAAGAUUGUACUUCACUAAAAUUAAAAACUUUUGUGCAUCAAAGGACAUUAUCAAGAGAAGGCAAGCUACAGAGGGGAGGAAAUGUUUGCAGAUCAUACAUCUGACACAGAUAGAUAAGGAACUCCUACAACUCAGUGACAAAAGGACAGACAACCUCAUUAAGAAGUGGACAAAGCACUUGGACAGAUGUUUCUCCAAAGAUUCACAGGUGGCUGGUAAGUACAUGGCAAGAUGCUCAACGUCAUCAGUGAAGCUGCUCAGGACAGCUGCUCCAAAAGAUGUCACUUCCGCAUAUUGGUCAUUUGCACCAAAGGCACUUGAAAAACAGCAGGUGCAAGAAAGGCUGUGACCCCCCCCAAUAAGGCUCUGACCCCCCAAACAAGGCUGUGACCUCCCCAAAACAAGGCUCUGACCCACCCAACAAGGCUAUGACCCCCCAACAAGGCUGUGACCCCCUAAACAAGGCUGUGACCCCCCAAUAAGGCUGUGACCCCCCAACAAGGCUCUGACCUC